AGCAGUCGCCACGGUAAUACGGAGGGUGCAAGCGUUAAUCGGAAUUACUGGGCGUAAAGCGCACGCAGGCGGUCUGUCAAGUCAGAUGUGAAAUCCCCGGGCUUAACCUGGGAACUGCAUUUGAAACUGGCAGGCUAGAGUCUUGUAGAGGGGGGUAGAAUUCCAGGUGUAGCGGUGAAAUGCGUAGAGAUCUGGAGGAAUACCGGUGGCGAAGGCGGCCCCCUGGACAAAGACUGACGCUCAGGUGCGAAAGCGUGGGGAGCAAACAGGAUUAGAUACCCGCGUAGUCCCUGUCUCUUAUAC
This 303-nucleotide ribosomal RNA is filed under the name uncultured bacterium. RNAcentral's name for it is "partial 16S ribosomal RNA". It matches the Rfam family "Bacterial small subunit ribosomal RNA", at positions 507 to 807 of the family's 1533-position model. The record is from RNAcentral.